CAAAUUUAAUUUCAUACCUAUGGGAGCUCAUAGAAAUAUCAGACUCAAAGAAAUGACCAAAACAGGCAGCUUUUAUAACUUGUAGGCAAACAAUAAAUUUGUGAAAAAUUGACAAGAGAAAGAAGUUUGGGAUUGGAGUAGUAAAUUGGUGAGGAAAUAACAAGGUUUGCUUAUUCAAACUUCUCAGCUCUAAAUUCUCUGUCCCUUGUAAGGAUAAGGAUAUCUUUCUACCUCCUGGUACAGGGAGGGUACCUUUCACAUGGCAGAUUUAUAUCCUGCUUUCAGGGGGAAAAGGAGGGUCAAAGAGUCUUUCUUGCAUUGAUUAUUGCUUAAGAAAGUCUAAUUAAAAAUAAUCCAUAUGCAAAGUGGUAUAUUUUGGGGUGGCAUAUUCUGCCCGCCCCCCUCACUAACCAGUUAGUUUAAAUGGUGACACAUUGUCUCUGUCCCUCUUCUGAAUGGCUGGAAAUGGGGCAUCUGUUCCUUUAAGAAACACUUCUUCUUAGAGUGAGUCAUCUCUGUCCUCUUGCUUUAGGAAUCAAGUUUAUUUUCUAAUUCUUUCUGUUGAGGAAUUUUCUUUUUGGCUUGCCGAAUACCAGAUGCUGCUCUUGUCCCUUGUGAUUUUUUUCAAGCCUUGCUGAAUUUGCUAAUAAGUUCUGAAUGCCGAGAACGGGAAGUGAAUCCCCUGGGGAGGCAGAAAGUGGAGUUAUCGAAAGUAAAAGAAAACUUCUUCCUGGAGGUGUUUCCAUCCCCACCCCCCCUCAUCCCCACCCUGUUUCAUGGGAAUUUUCUCUGGUUGUGUGGAAAAGCCUUAGGAAUUUGUAUGAAAUUAGGCAGUUCAGGGGUCUUGGCAUCGGCACUUGGUGACUGUGAUGUCGCUGGGACAGGGUGGAGCAGACUUUAUGGGCAGAAUCAAAUGGUAGUGAAAGGCAUCGAUAUUACCACGGCAACUGUACCUAGCCCUCUACAGGUGAGAAGGAACUUUCAGAUACUUUGUGUAAUCCGCUCAGCCCUAAGGUGA
This 1018-nucleotide long non-coding RNA is filed under the name Felis catus (domestic cat). RNAcentral describes it as "lncRNA (ENSFCAG00000050207.1)". Lineage: Eukaryota; Metazoa; Chordata; Mammalia; Carnivora; Felidae. The record is from RNAcentral.